AGGUAAAGUUACUACACCUAUCAACAUGUUACAAUACUUUGUUUAUUUCAUUCUACAUAUUGUUCUUCUACAAAUACACCAAACAGAGGUAUGUAAAUACACGUAUUAAACUAACAGCGAAAAGGGGUACACAUGUCACACAAUGUGCUUAAAAUGCAAUUUUGAAAUUUUGGGGUUUAAAAAUAAAUGUGUAAUUAUAUUCUCUUUUUUAUUCUCUAAAAACAUACGAUAUGUAUUUAUAAUUGAAUUAAAUAAAAGAAUCGGAUUACUAGUAAAAAAGACGAGUAAACAAAACAAAUAUAAAACAUUUGCUAAAAACAAAAACAACAUCUUCAUUCAUUAAAUCUAACUUUUUUUCUUUAAUGCUUGUGAAACUGCUAGAAUGUACCUACAUUGUCUCCAGGAGAAAUGAAUAGAGCUGGUUAGAAUAUUGAAUUAUGUAAUAACUUCUGUUUUGAAUUCCAAAGUUUUAUAAAUUUUCGGAUUGACAAGUCGUGAGAAAAAAGGGCUAGGCAUUUAAUGAAAAUGGAAAAUUUUCUCUCGCGUGAAGAAGAAGUGAGAAAAAAAAACAUGCAAAGAUGAUAAUUUGAACUAUGCCUUUCUUUACCAAAACUGCAAUAAAUCAUGAAAUUAUCGUGUUUGCCUUUUUAAUUUGGAUAUUUACCGUACACUAAUAUGUACAUUUGAAAAUCAUUGGAGAUCAAUUAGGGAUUUUGUUUAUUUACAUUCUAAUGUUAGUAUGUAAAAUAAUACUAAAAUUGUUAAGCUGUAAAAUUCUCAGCUUCGUAUACAGGAUUCCAAAAAGUUGGUGGCGACUGGUAAACCAAGGUUUUCAGCGAUAAUUUAGAAUGGAUUAGUCCAGUCGAUUUGUGAAACAAUUGCUCAGAUUGUGGUAAAAGCAUAAAAUUUGGCAGAGUGUUAGUUGAGGUCAUAACUAACAUUAUGCUAUGGACCCAAUUCAGAAAAUAAAAUGGCGGCUCGGCGGCAUUUUGAAAUAUGUCAAAAAAAUUAAUAAAAAUUAUUAAAAAAAUAUGAAAAAUAUAUUACUUUACCAAUUUUGAUAAACUGUCGUAUAUCUUAUGACAAAGAAUAUCACCUGAAGACUAUUCAAGUAUUAGGUGGCCAUCUUGAAUGGUGGCCAUUUUGGAAACGUAAAUUUCAAAUAUGUCAUUAUUCGCUAUCCUAAAUUGUUUUUGGAAUUAAUGCUAAGUUUUAUAUGCAUUUAUAACUAGUUUUUCUUAUCAUUGAUUUAUAUGACUGUUGCUAUUCAUAUAGGAUAUAUUCACCAAGUGCUGAAAUAAGGCAUGCAUAUGUUAACUAAUAAAUGUAUUUAAAAAAUAUGCGUAAUUCUUUUAAUUGCAGUUUAGCAUGUGCUUAGUUACUUUUGACCACCAAAAAUGCGUAUAUACAUAUAAUUUAUGCCACUGUAUGUGAAAAGAUAAUACAUAGUAUUGUCAAUAGGCUGAAAAGAUAAUGAAUAGACUGGAAAGAAUUCCGUAACGCAAAGAGAGCACAUGAGGAUUUACAAUGUCAAUCAAAUACAAAAAAGCAGACAUAGACAUUUGAAGCUGGUAAUAAGUCUUUUCUGUACGCAUACAACUGUUCCAAGUGAUGAAGGCAAUUAAUGAGGGAAUCACAAGGCAAAAGGUACUUAUCCUGUCAAAGCAAAUCUUAAGAUCAAAAUAUUUUGUCAGGAAAAAACGAAAAGUCUAAGAUGAGUCACGGAUUGAAAAUACAGAAAUAACCAGCCACGGUGUGAUGAUUAACAAGAACAAUAUGAUGCAGGAUUUUUCUUUCAUUGUGAUGAGGUAUCUGACUAUCAUCAGGAGGCUCGACAAUAGAGUAUGUGACUGUCACUUGAACUACUAACCAUUGUUCUAUUAGCAAGACAGUGCGGAGAUUAUUUUCAGGAGCAGAUAUCAUAUAAAUGUUGUUAAAACUGCACGACAGGGCAAUAACAGAAUCGAGACACAGAAAAAACAGUCAAGAAUCUGUUAUCCAUGGGAAUGGGCUCGCCAAUUGAUAGAACAGUGACGGCUCACAACUAUGAACAGAUAUUGUUUAAUAUUUGAAAUUGAUGAUAUGUAAAAUUGUACAGUAAACGUUCUUAGUAAAUAUGAGUUGUCAUGGAAGGAAUGAUUAAUACAAGCUGCCAUAGAUGAUAUGCAAGCACACAUGAAAGGUUGCGUUUUUCUCCGGAUUCUCAAAGAAUAUGUUGGGGAAGUUCUGAAACAGGCCAUGUCUUUUAGUCGUGAUGUGAAGGCCUCUUCUAGUCAAAGUAACUAGAAAAGUGAAGAGUUAAGCUUGUUACUAUAAAAAGGUACAUUCAAUGUAGGCUUUCCAAAUGAAUCAGUUCCACAAUCGUUGAGACAUCUUACUCUCUAUCUGAGGACUGAUAAGUUGCAGUUGUAUUCUUUCAACGACGAGUUGCUCAAUUGAACUAUUAUUGCUAUGGUAAGGCCAUUCUUACUAAGGAAGCUUAAGUCUGUUGAAAUUUGUCACAGCUGUUAUUGAGUGUCCCUGUAAGUUAUUUUAGUAUCAAGCAUAUAUUUUGUCUGCUAUGGCUAUGGUGAUGCCUUCAUUUUUACUUUUUUUUUAUUUGCUCUGUUUUAGAGCUUCACGAUUACAUUUGUUGAAAAUCAAGAGCACUAAUUUAUCUUGCUUGUAUGCUUAUAGAUAUCCUAUAGCAGCUACAUUUCAAUUUUGUUAACUGCGUUGUAUCAGUUCUUCCUUUCAAGAUCUUCCAGGCGUUUACUGUACAAUUUAGCGUGAUCUGAAAGCUUGGAGAUUGGUACAAUACUUCUUCAGACCGUGUGCCAUCAAUGUAUUUCAUUUAUUUAGGAAAGCACAAACUCAAGAUUAAAAGAUUCCUGGCUUUCUUUCUGUGUCUUUUAUUUGCUAUUUGCUAUGUUGUCAGUUCAUCAAUCAUCAGCAUGAUACUAGUGAUUUGACAUCUCCAGCUCUUACUUUGGCUAAGGGAAUAUGUCUUGUAGUACAAGUGCACAGUCUCGCCCUAUUUUUGUUGAUUUGAAAAUGUCUAUGUAUCAUGGAGAUCUUCAGAUACAUCACCACAGAAAAAAUACAUUGCAGUCAUUGUUCUUUUUGAUCAGUUCACUUUACAAGUGUCUGUUACUUAUUGUUCCUUUCAAUUGGCAACUUAUCUUCAACAUCAGAAGUAUGUUUUCCCUUUUGCUGAUGAAAUAUUUUGAGGUCUGAAAAUUUGUUUGACAUGGUUUGUGCCAUUUUGCCUUGUGAUUCUUGAGUGCUUCUGCAGUUCCAUAGCCCUUAUUCAACUGUUUCGAAUUGAGCGAAAGGAAAACCAAUUCAAGACCCAACAUCUUCGUAUGCUUGCAUUAAAAAAGAGUGAUUGCCAGCUCAAAUGUCUAUGACUGUUCUGUUUGUAUCUACUUGGCAUUGCAAACCCUUACAUGUCCUCUCUUGCCGUUUCACACAUUCCUUCCACUCCAAUUGCCCAUUAUGUUUUUCUUAUAUCUAGUUCCAGUGUUUUCGAAAUCUACAAUUUUUGAUCUUUCCAAAAAAACUUUCGGUCAUAAAUUAUAUAUUAUAUACGUAAUUUCUGUUUUAAAAAGUUACUUGUAAGUAACAAAAAUUUUGAUACUGAUAUCUUAAUUUUGUAAACAUGUGCAUGCCUUAUCUGACCUCUUUUUGAAUAUCCAAUAUAAAUUAGUAAAAAAAGUACGAAUGCAAACAGUGAAUUAAUAAGAUUAGCGAAUAAUGAUAUAUUGAAAUUCAUGUUUUCAAAAUGGCCAUCUUCAAGAUGCUACCAAGAAAUCAUAUAUAUAUGAAGUCCUCAAAUGACAGUCCUUGUCAAUUGUGAUGAAUAUACCAUUUGACUAUAUAAUAAUUUCCUACAGCAAGCGCUUAACUUAUAAGUCAAAGUGAACACAGAUACUAAGGAAUUGCAAAUGUGUAAAGGCAGUAUUAAGUUGUACUACUCUAUGUUUAUGUGGAGGACAUGUGAUAGAAUAUGAUAAACAGAGUGUGUUUUGACAAAACAUGUACAUUCAUUUAUUGUUAGAUAUUGUUACGUCAAUUGAGAACAUUUGAGCAGUUGACGUUCUUAUAACAUUACUUGUAUGAUAUAAAAUUCAUUAUGUCUUCAAUCAAGGUUUUAGAAAAUUGUUUCAAAUGAACAACAAUAUCAACAAAACGAAUUAUCCAGUAAUCAGCCAACUAUUAUAAAGAACAGGUGUACAAAUAUUUUCUUGCUUUAUUUCUACGUAUAAAAUAAAAUUCUCCUGUUAUUCUAUAUUGAACAAGCGGUUGCACGAAUAAUGCUUUCAGAGUAAUAGUUCAUUUUAUGAUUCACUUCGUGUCUGCGUUUUAAUGCUUUUGUACCCGCUACAAAACAGAAGAAUAACUCGGGGGAAGGGGAUAGGCUAGCUUUUUGUCCUGUUUAUCUAGCUCAAACAAAUACAUUUGUAUAUAUCUUCCACAAUGCAUUUUUUUUAUUAUAUCGAAUAAUGGCUACAUAUUUUGGCUUAACAAAAAGAUUUUUCAAGAUGGCCGCCAUUCAAUAUGGGUAAUAUUUCCAAAACUUUUGUUCUACAAGACAAUUGGAUCCAGCACUGUUAUUCUAUCAACCAGAUUUCAUCUAAUAUCAUUUUCAUAAUUUUUCUAUUAUUAUCUAUUGAGAUCAAACGGCCGCCAUUUAAAAUGGCCGCCUCUUCGCCAAUUUCGAUUUCAGAUUGGGUCAUAGCUUAAAAUGUUGUCCAUGACAUAUACUACUACUAUGCCAAAUUUCAUGCUUUUACCACAAUCUGAGCAAUUUUGUCAAAAAUCUGCACAAAUCGACUGGACUAGAUAUACAUUAAUGAUAUAUAAAGCACGACUGUUUACGUACAUGUACACAAAAAAAUCAAUUUAAUCAAUCAUUUCUAAUAUAAAACCAGUGUAAUUUUUCAACUCUAUAUUUUCUUUUUAAUACUUCAGGGUCGAUCUGAACCUAGGCCUGUCCGGGGUAAGUGUAUUUGCUUUGUUUACCAUUCAAACUUACAAGUUCUUUUUUUUAUCCUUUGAAAUAUGUUGUAUUCUAUUAAACUGCAAACAUCUUUAUUAAAUUGAAAUAAUGACAGAAACAGCUAAUAUUUGGUAUAUAUUUAAACGACUUUGUUUAUAUAUAAAGCUGAUCCCCAUAUGUUCAGUAAAACAAAUCGGGGUAAGGGAGGAGGGUAUAUGUCAUAUCUUGAUCUCUAACAUUGGGAAUGAAAAUUGAGAAUAUGUCAAAGAAACAACAACCCGUCCAAAGAGCUGAUAACAGCAUAAGGCCACAAAUGGGUCUUUAGAUCCCGCACCGAAUGUUUUUUGUUGUUUGGUUGAUGUCUCAUCGGUGUAUACAUCACUUCUUUUUUAUUCACACCAUAACAUUACAAUCAAAAGUGUCAUCGUUCUAGUAGUUAACCGUUAAAAAACUUAUGAAUAAAUAAAGGCAACAGUAGUACACCGCUGUUCGAAAUUCAUAAAUCGAUUGAGAAAAAAAAAACACGGGUCACAAACUAAAAAUGAGGGAAACACAUCAAGUAUAAGAGAACUAAGACACACCAGAAACACAACCUUUAAAUAUAACACACACAGAAACGAAUUAUAACAUAACAAUUGCAAAAUAGUUUCUUAUUUACAAAAUCUUAUUUCAGAUCCUUGUUAUCUUCCAAAAAAGACUGGGUUCUGUAGGGCAGCUUUUCGACGAUAUUUUUAUAAUGCUGAUACAGGAAAUUGUGAACGUUUUACCUAUGGCGGAUGCCGUGGAAAUGAAAAUAAUUUCAAAACAAUUAGAGAAUGUAGAAGGACCUGCCUAAACAAAGGUAUUUAUAUAG
RNAcentral lists this long non-coding RNA (5834 nucleotides) under Mytilus galloprovincialis (Mediterranean mussel). The record is from RNAcentral. Lineage: Eukaryota; Metazoa; Mollusca; Bivalvia; Mytilida; Mytilidae.